Molecule: long non-coding RNA, 153 nt
Organism: Sorex araneus (European shrew)
Lineage: Eukaryota; Metazoa; Chordata; Mammalia; Eulipotyphla; Soricidae
Exons: 3
Source: RefSeq, a predicted model, not a curated record
GGGCGGAGCACUGGCCGCCGGCUCUUCGCGACCCGAGUCCCGUGUCCUGUCUCCCCAGCCACGGCCCCGAGACCCACGUGCAGCUGGUUGCAGACAUGCUCAAGGCUCUCCUCCGCAAGCUCCCUAAGAGGGCGGGGCCUGCAGCAGUCCCGG